CGGAACCGUAGAUGCUAGCUAGCAGAGCUACAUUACUGGAGUGGUGAGGAAGGAGAAAGACGAUAUUUUGUUCCGAUAAAAACAACAUUUUCCUGCCAAUGGGCCAGUUUUUUUGUUUGCACUGAUGUGCUUUGCUGGUGAAUUCUGCUGUUAGCACUGGUGUUUUCAACGAUUAAAAUUACAUCAGUUGUGGACAUAUGUUUGACUUGGAGCGUUCUUCAGAAAAGCCGAGACCUCAGAGAUGAUCUCAGAACCAUCCAAGAAGAUUUCAGAUGCUCCAGAUAGACAAUUUCAGUACUGGAUGGUGAUGGUGAGCCGAGCCCACAAGAUGCUGAACCAAGGAACCCACCGACCUUG
Long non-coding RNA from Amphiprion ocellaris (clown anemonefish), 357 nucleotides. RefSeq lists it as uncharacterized. The transcript has 3 exons. The record is from RefSeq and is a predicted model, not a curated record. Lineage: Eukaryota; Metazoa; Chordata; Actinopteri; Pomacentridae.